UGCAAGUCGUACGAGAGUUUUGAACUCAAGUGGCGGACGGGUGAGUAACACGUAAGAAUUUGCCUUUAGGAGGGGGACAACAACUGGAAACGGUUGCUAAUACCCCAUAUGCUUUCGAGUGAAACGGUUUUUCCGCCUAAAGAGAAGCUUGCGGCUGAUUAGCUUGUUGGUAAGGUAAUGGCUUACCAAGGCGACGAUCAGUAUCUGGUUUGAGAGGACGAUCAGACACACUGGAACUGAGACACGGUCCAGACUCCUACGGGAGGCAGCAGUGGGGAAUUUUCCGCAAUGGGCGAAAGCCUGACGGAGCAAUACCGCGUGAGGGAUGAAUGCCUAUGGGUUGUAAACCUCUUUUUUCAGGGAGGAAUCAAUGACGUUACCUGAAGAAUAAGCAUCGGCUAACUCCGUGCCAGCAGCCGCGGUAAUACG
This 429-nucleotide ribosomal RNA is filed under the name uncultured bacterium. RNAcentral's name for it is "bacterial SSU rRNA". It matches the Rfam family "Bacterial small subunit ribosomal RNA", at positions 56 to 527 of the family's 1533-position model. The record is from RNAcentral.